CCCACAGCUGGUUGAGGGAGGGAGGGGAGGAAAGCGGCUGUGGGGAGGAUGGGAGGAUAGUUGGUUACUGUUCAAAAAAAUGUAAAGCGGAAAAGACAGCUCGGAGAAGACGAGGAAGAGGAAAGUGUGAGAGAUGAGUAAGCUAACGGUCAGUCUCCUCCUCCACUAGGAUGAAGCCUCGGGAUGCGACCUCCUCUUCAUUCAACUCCCCGUAUAUAUCAUGCGCCCAGAGUUGGAAGAAAUUGUACAACUCAUCUGACCUGGAUAAAAGAGAAAAGAAUAAAAUCACUUCAUAAAUUUCUAA
Long non-coding RNA from Scylla paramamosain (green mud crab), 304 nucleotides. RefSeq lists it as uncharacterized. NCBI's taxonomy places the organism in Eukaryota, Metazoa, Arthropoda, Malacostraca, Decapoda, Portunidae. The record is from RefSeq and is a predicted model, not a curated record. The transcript is spliced from 2 exons.